This 373-nucleotide ribosomal RNA is filed under the name uncultured organism. RNAcentral's name for it is "partial 16S ribosomal RNA". It matches the Rfam family "Bacterial small subunit ribosomal RNA", at positions 527 to 897 of the family's 1533-position model. The record is from RNAcentral.
GUAGGUGGCAAGCGUUGUCCGGAAUUAUUGGGCGUAAAGCGCGCGCAGGUGGUCUUUAAGUCUGAUGUGAAAGCCCCCGGGCUCAACCGGGGAGGGUCAUUGGAAACUGGGGAACUUGAGUACAGGAGAGGAAAGUGGAAUUCCACGUGUAGCGGUGAAAUGCGUAGAUAUGUGGAGGAACACCAGUGGCGAAGGCGACUUUCUGGCCUGUAACUGACACUGAGGCGCGAAAGCGUGGGGAGCAAACAGGAUUAGAUACCCUGGUAGUCCACGCCGUAAACGAUGAGUGCUAAGUGUUGGGGGGUUUCCGCCCCUCAGUGCUGCAGCUAACGCAUUAAGCACUCCGCCUGGGGAGUACGGUCGCAAAGACUGA